This is a long non-coding RNA of Cebus imitator (Panamanian white-faced capuchin), 360 nucleotides long. RefSeq lists it as uncharacterized. The transcript has 3 exons. NCBI's taxonomy places the organism in Eukaryota, Metazoa, Chordata, Mammalia, Primates, Cebidae. The record is from RefSeq and is a predicted model, not a curated record.
GUCAUUUCAAUAGAUGCUGAAAAAGCACUUGAUAAAGUUCAGCAUACCUUCAUGAUAAGAACUCUUAUCAAAAAACUAGGUAUAGAUGGAACAUAUCUCAACAUAAUAAAAACCAUAUACCGCAUACCACAGACCUACAGCUAGUAUCAUACUGAAUGAGGAAAAACUGAAAGCCUUUCCUCUAAGAUCUGGAACAUGACAAGAAUGCCCUCUUUCAUCAAUGUUAUUCAAUAUAGUGGUGGAAGUCCUAGCUAGAGCAAUCAGACAAGAGAAUGAAAUAAAGGGCAUCCAAAAUGGAAUGGAAAAAGUCAAAUUAUCCUUGUUUGCAGAUGAUAUGAUCUUAUAUUAAAAACAAUCCAA